This 465-nucleotide ribosomal RNA is filed under the name uncultured bacterium. Its description in RNAcentral is "bacterial SSU rRNA". It matches the Rfam family "Bacterial small subunit ribosomal RNA", at positions 338 to 795 of the family's 1533-position model. The record is from RNAcentral.
CCUACGGGGGGCAGCAGUAGGGAAUCUUCCACAAUGGACGCAAGUCUGAUGGAGCAACGCCGCGUGAGUGAAGAAGGUUUUCGGAUCGUAAAGCUCUGUUGUUGGUGAAGAAGGAUAGAGGUAGUAACUGGCCUUUAUUUGACGGUAAUCAACCAGAAAGUCACGGCUAACUACGUGCCAGCAGCCGCGGUAAUACGUAGGUGGCAAGCGUUGUCCGGAUUUAUUGGGCGUAAAGCGAGCGCAGGCGGAAGAAUAAGUCUGAUGUGAAAGCCCUCGGCUUAACCGAGGAACUGCAUCGGAAACUGUUUUUCUUGAGUGCAGAAGAGGAGAGUGGAACUCCAUGUGUAGCGGUGGAAUGCGUAGAUAUCGGGAGGAACACCAGUGGCGAAGGCGGCCUACUGGGCACCAACUGACGCUGAGGCUCGAAAGUGUGGGUAGCAAACAGGAUUAGAUACCCUGGUAGUC